UAUUUCAAAACAUAAAUAAAUAAGUAUUAUUUGAGAUAUUUUACUAUUUAUCCGACGUUAAACAUCAACGAGAAAAGAAGGCACUGAUAUUUAAUUAUUCUGAAUGAACAGGGUGAAACCAUUAAUUAAAAGAUGUCAUCUGUUAAGGCUUGGAAAGCCUUGAAAUUAAAGAUUAAGAAAUACAACGACAAGAAUCCAACGGCCAAUGUCAUUUGCAUUGGCAUGGUAAACAACAAUUAUGUUGGCUGUGGCAGCUCAAAAAUGAUGAGCAAAUUUUAUGAAAAUGAGAAAGUUGUAGAGCUGUACCGAGAAGCAGUAAACAGUCAACAAUUUUUUGGUGAUGAGCCUAGUUAUAUGCCGAAAACAACUGUAUCAACCUAUCUAAAUAAAACUGCGACUGAGAUGGAUGUGCAUGAGAUGCGAUCGGUCAUCACAUCUUUACUUUUAAAAUCAGAUGCCAUUACUAUUUAUUGUUGAUGUUGAUGUUGGAUUGUACUGGAUCACUGACAUGCUAAAGAACAAAGAAGAAAUUUUUUUGAUAAGGAUAGUAAUUGUCCAGUAUGGUGGGGGAUCACUGAUGUCCCAUUCUGUUCUUUAAAUCACCCAAAAGGAGGACAACCACGGGCAAAAAAGGAACAAUUGGUUAAAUUAAUCAAAUCAGCACAGGAAUAUUUUAAUAUUAAACCAAAUAGAAAUAAGCUUACACCAAGUGAUGAAAUUAACGCUGAAGAAAUUGAAGAAAUUAACGCUGAAGAAGAAAUGAACGCUGAAGAAAUUGAAGAAAUUAACGCUGAAGAAAUUGAAGAAAUUAACGCUGAAGAAGAAAUUAACGC
This is a long non-coding RNA of Patella vulgata (common limpet), 833 nucleotides long. RefSeq lists it as uncharacterized. The transcript is spliced from 9 exons. The record is from RefSeq and is a predicted model, not a curated record. Lineage: Eukaryota; Metazoa; Mollusca; Gastropoda; Patellidae.